This 24-nucleotide non-coding RNA is filed under the name Arabidopsis thaliana (thale cress). The record is from RNAcentral. Lineage: Eukaryota; Viridiplantae; Streptophyta; Magnoliopsida; Brassicales; Brassicaceae.
AGAAGUAAUGAUUAAAUCGGUAGC